AUGUAAGCUUUGAUAAGGACAACAGUUUCUUUUUACGGUUUCCAGAGAGGGAAGGAUGCUGAGAACUUCCCAACGCAGGAAAAGAAACUUACCACCUUUGAGCUGUACAGGGGAAAACCAGUAUCUUGUACCGGGUUAAGCCACGUUAAAGGCUACAUGAGUCAUCAUAUAUUGAUGGGAAUUUGGGUGGAACCACGGGUUAGCACGUACUCGUCCCUUUC
RNAcentral lists this non-coding RNA (221 nucleotides) under Pontibacillus marinus. Its description in RNAcentral is "T-box sequence". It matches the Rfam family "T-box leader". Rfam says of the family: Uncharged tRNA acts as the effector for transcription antitermination of genes in the T-box leader family. T-boxes are found upstream of many aminoacyl-tRNA synthetase genes and some amino acid biosynthetic genes usually in Gram-positive bacteria. The record is from RNAcentral. Lineage: Bacteria; Bacillati; Bacillota; Bacilli; Caryophanales; Bacillaceae.